GGCAGGAUUGCUAUCCUAUGUUAAUAAUUGGGGUUAAUCCCUGGACUACUAUAAUUAUUAGGAUAGUUAUUUAAAAGAUGCUAAUCACUAUUUACACUAAUUAAGGGUUGGGAUAUUCUACUCACCACUAGUAAUAGGUUGUUUAAUAAAAGAAUUGUAAUAAAAGUGUACCAACUUAAAAGCUCACCUCCAGUUAAACAGUGUCAGCUUUUCCUUUGAUUAAGCCUUGCAUGUCAUUAUAUUUUCCGUCUGUACUUGUUGAGUUCGACGUGAACUCACCCUUGCUAUUCCCCCACACCCCCAGUGUGUAGUAAAGUGCUGCUCAGAAGAAGGAUAAAGAUAUCGUGAAGUUUUCUAGAAGCUUGUUAGAAGUGCUUGGCGUACGGAGCCCCCCAGUCAACCGUCCCUGAGAAGAAUGGAGCCUAAGAAGUUUAGCUACUGUUUCCGCGUACUCUGAUGUUUGUAAGUGUUAAUAUAAAUAUGUUUUCCGCUAUAUAUAACAUUGUUUCUGAUAUUUCUAUUCUUUAGUUAUAUGUGUGGACUUCCUGGGCACACAUAUGACGACUCUGGUUUAUUUUUAAAAGCCAGGGUGUGACAAUGCACCAUUGUGUUGCUUCUUGUCCAGUGAAAAUGAGUCAUCUCUCCUCAAGAUGGUAACGGGGAAUUUCUUGUCGGAUAUAGGUCUUCCAUCCCUGUUCCCGUGGGGGAAUUUUUCCCAUCCCCAUCUCUGUGAAAGCUCACGGGAGAUGUUCCUCCCCAUCCCCGAACCCAAGCAGGGAAAUCAUCCCCGACGGGGUCCCUGUCCUUGAAUAAAUAAGUACUUGAAUUAACAAUUCAAAAGAAGAAAUGUGCAACUACAAAACACAUCUUGCAACAACAUGAGAUAAGAUUGCUUAGUUUAUAAAUCAAAACUCCCUUUCUUAACAAAAUUGCAAAAAAUGAAAAAAAAACUAACAAUUCCACUAGUGCUUGCGUGGAUGAGGAUCUGUGCUUAUGUCAGGCAAGAGCCACCUUAGUGCUUCUAUUGUCCCCAACGAGGAUGAGAAGCUGUAGUAGAGAGUGGAGAGUGGAGAUGCAAGAUAGAUCUUCUUGCAGAGCAAGUACGAGGCAACACUACAUCAGCAC
This 1125-nucleotide long non-coding RNA is filed under the name Sorghum bicolor (sorghum). RNAcentral's name for it is "long non-coding RNA (SBIC_LNC003507)". The record is from RNAcentral. Lineage: Eukaryota; Viridiplantae; Streptophyta; Magnoliopsida; Poales; Poaceae.